This 78-nucleotide small RNA is filed under the name Flavobacterium aquidurense. RNAcentral describes it as "Flavo-1 RNA". It matches the Rfam family "Flavo-1 RNA". The record is from RNAcentral. Lineage: Bacteria; Pseudomonadati; Bacteroidota; Flavobacteriia; Flavobacteriales; Flavobacteriaceae.
GCCUAGCCCCGAUAGAAGUGGAAAUCCUUUUAUGCCGGGGUUCGGCACAAAAGAUUGAAACGGAUAGCGGGACUGAAC